AUGUUCCCCGUCUUUCUGUUGCUUCUUUUGCUUCUCCGGUCGGCAUCGGCAACAACAUUCAGCCACUGGACUGAUGUGGAUGCCUUGUUGGCAUUCAAGGCAAGCAUAAACAACCAGCGGGGUGGUGUUCUAGAUGCAUGGAACACAAGUAAUACUACCACUACAUUCUGCCACUGGCCUGGUGUGGUUUGCAGCCAGCACAGCAGGGUCACGGCGCUUAACCUCACUUCCCAGGGCCUUGGUGGCAUAAUCACGCCUUCCAUUGGGAACCUCACAUUCUUGAAAACUCUAGACCUCAGCCUCAACAAUUUGGAUGGUGAAAUACCUCCAUCAAUUGCUCGUCUCUCUCAUCUGCGAUAUCUUGACUUGUCCAACAACUCACUUCAUGGUAAUAUACACCCUGGCUUGAACAAUUGCACCAGUCUUGAAAACAUCAACCUUGGAGCAAACCACUUCACCGGAGAAAUUUCCCCUUGGCUUGGGCUUGGAGGAUUGUCCAGUCUCAAGGUUAUACGACUAUGGAACAACAACUUCACUGGAACCAUCCCGCCAUCACUUACCAACCUCUCAGCACUGCAAAAUAUCGAUUUCACAACAAACCAAUUACAAGGUGACAUCCCUGAGGGCCUUGGUAGGAUCACUAGUCUCAACAUGAUUCAACUGGGUCAAAACCGCCUCUCAGGCAUCAUCCCUGCAACUUUCUUUAACCUUUCCUCUCUAACCGGUUUCAAUGUGGCGGUCAAUGAGUUGCAUGGUAAACUUCCCUCAAACUUGGGGGAUCGCCUCCCAAAUCUCAAGUACCUAUUACUCGGCUUGAACCACUUCACAGGAAACCUUCCGGCUUCUCUUGUCAAUGCAACUGAGAUUUAUACCUUAGAACUGUCAUCCAACAACUUCACCGGUAGAUUGCCUCGAGAGAUUGGAAUGCUCUGCCCGGACACCCUCAGUCUAGAAGUGAAUCAGCUAACGGCAGCUACUGCUAAGGACUGGGAGUUCAUGACCUUGUUGACAAACUGCACACGUCUCGGUACACUUGACCUUUAUUUCAACAAUUUAGGUGGCGUGCUGCCAAGCUCUGUUGCCAACCUAUCAGCACAACUCCGAGAGCUAGAUGUUGGAUACAAUCAGAUUUCUGGAAAGAUACCAUUUGGCAUAAGCCAUCUUGUUGGGUUAAAUCAACUGGACCUCUCAAAUAAUCGUUUUACCGGUUCCUUGCCCGACGACAUCGGGAGGCUAAAUCUGCUCCAGGCUUUGUAUUUCGAAAACAAUCUAUUCACAGGUUACUUGCCAUCCUCCCUCGGGAACUUGACACGGCUAGUAAUUCUUCCUGCAACCGGCAACAAGUUUGAGGGGCCGCUUCCAACAAGCCUAGGUAGCCUCCAGGAGAUGACUAUAGCAGACUUUUCACACAAUAGGUUCACAGGUCCAUUGCCUAAGGAGAUCUUUAACCUGUCGUCUCUGUCAAAUUUGCUAGACUUGUCUGACAAUUACUUUUUUGGUCCUCUUCCACCACAAGUCGGCAGCCUGACAAACCUUGCAUACCUAUAUGUAUCGAGGAACAACUUAUCAGGUCCCCUACCCAAUGAACUUAGCAACUGCCAAAGCCUGACAGAACUCAGAUUGGACCAUAACUCCUUCAACAGUAGCAUUCCCUCAUCUAUCAGCAAAAUGCAAGGUCUGAUGUUGCUAAAUCUUACAAAGAACACACUCUCUGGUGUGAUUCCUCAAGAGUUAGGGCUAAUGGGUGGCACUGGAGAGUUGUAUCUCGGACACAACAACCUUUCUGGCCAUAUCCCUGAAAGUUUGGAGAACAUGACAUCAUUAUACCGGUUAGACCUGUCAUUCAACCAUCUAGGUGGCAGAGUUCCAUCACGGGGCGUGUUCAGUAAUGCAUCUGGGUUUUUGUUUGGUGGUAAUUUGGGGCUUUGUGGUGGAAUAUUGGAGUUACAUUUGCCCCCAUGCCCGGCAGAAUCCAUGGGACAUGGUUUGAGGAAACACCAUUUCAUCACUACAGUAGUUAUCCCAAUUAUUGCUGGCAUAACUCUGUGUGUGAGUUUCGCACUUGUUUUCUUCACAAUGAGAAAGAGAUCGAAAGCUCGAUUGACAGCCGUACAAGGAUUUCAACUGAUGGAUGACCGUUAUCCAAGAGUUACUUAUGCUGAACUAGUCCAUGGAACAAGUGGCUUUGCUUCAGACAAUCUAUUGGGUGGAGGAAGGUAUGGAUCAGUGUACAAGUGCUGUUUGCUGCUAAGAAAUAUGAUGACCACAGUAGCUGUAAAGGUUUUUGAUCUUCAACAGGUUGGCUCUUCAAAAAUCUUUAUAGCUGAGUGUGAGGCACUUAGUAAGAUCCGCCAUCGUAAUCUGAUCAGCUUCAUAACUUGUUGUUCGAGCUCUGACACGAACCAAAACGACUUCAAAUCCAUUGUGUUCGAGUUCAUGCCUAAUGGGAGCCUAGACGGGUGGAUACACAUGGAUGUGCAUGCAUCACAUCAACUCCAAGGCAUGACAUUGAUGCAGAGAUUGAAUAUCGCAGUGGAUGUUGCUGAUGCGCUUGACUAUUUGCACAACAGCUGCGAACCACCAAUAAUUCACUGUGACUUGAAGCUGAGCAACAUUCUUCUCGACGAGGAUCUAGUCGCUCACGUCGGGGACUUGGGCCUCGCAAAGAUUCUUGCUGAACCAGCCGCGGAGCAACUGAUUAAUUCACAGAGCUCGGUUGGAAUACGAGGAACAAUUGGAUACGUCGCUCCAGAAUACGGCCAAGGUGGUCAAGUUUCUUCAUGCGGAGACGCAUACAGCUUUGGAAUUGUCAUCCUCGAGUUGUUUACAGGGAUGGCACCUACUCAUGACAUGUUCGGAGACGGGUUGACCUUGCAGAAGCAUGUAGAGGAUGCAAUUCCAGGGAUGCUAAUGCAGAUUGCUGAUCCAGUCCUGCUGUCCAUUGAAGAAGCUAACGCGAACACAGUGGAACAUGUCAGCAAUGCCAUAUUCUCCGUCAUGAAGGUUGCGCUAUCAUGCAGCAAGCAUAAUCCGACAGAGAGAAUGCGCAUCAGAGACGCGGCUGCUGCGAUUCACAGGAUAAGGGAUGCUCAUGCACAUUAA
This 3102-nucleotide ribosomal RNA is filed under the name Triticum aestivum (bread wheat). RNAcentral describes it as "partial small subunit ribosomal RNA". Lineage: Eukaryota; Viridiplantae; Streptophyta; Magnoliopsida; Poales; Poaceae. The record is from RNAcentral.